RNAcentral lists this ribosomal RNA (439 nucleotides) under uncultured bacterium. RNAcentral's name for it is "partial 16S ribosomal RNA". It matches the Rfam family "Bacterial small subunit ribosomal RNA", at positions 339 to 795 of the family's 1533-position model. The record is from RNAcentral.
CUACGGGGGGCUGCAGUGGGGAAUAUUGCGCAAUGGGGGAAACCCUGACGCAGCCAUGCCGCGUGAGUGAAGAAGGCCCUCGGGUUGUAAAACUCUUUCAACGGUGAAGAUGAUGACUGUAGCCGUAGAAGAAGCUCCGGCUAACUUCGUGCCAGCAGCCGCGGUAAUACGAAGGGAGCUAGCGUUGUUCGGAAUUACUGGGCGUAAAGGGCGCGUAGGCGGACUACCCAGUCAGAGGUGAAAUCCCGGGGCUCAACCCCGGAACUGCCUUUGAUACUGGUGGUCUUGAGUCCGUGAGAGGGUGGUGGAAUACCCAGUGUAGAGGUGAAAUUCGUAGAUAUUGGGUGGAACACCAGUGGCGAAGGCGGCCACCUGGCACGGUACUGACGCUGAUGCGCGAAAGCGUGGGGAGCAAACAGGAUUAGAUACCCUGGUAGUC